CAGCACAGUUCAUUGUCAUUCUCUCUACUCAUGAGAGCAGUGAAAUUUCUGCUGUGCAAGAUUAACAGUAAAGGUUAAUUAGCAGCUUAACUGAAUACAGUUUUUAGCUGCCAGUCACCUUUAUACACUU
Protopterus annectens (West African lungfish) is the source of this 130-nucleotide small nucleolar RNA. NCBI's taxonomy places the organism in Eukaryota, Metazoa, Chordata, Ceratodontiformes, Protopteridae. The record is from RefSeq and is a predicted model, not a curated record.